AGAACGAACGCUGGCGGCAGGCUUAACACAUGCAAGUCGAGCGCCCCGCAAGGAGAGUGGCAGACGGGUGAGUAACGCGUGGGAACAUACCCUCCGGUUCGGAAUAGCUCAGGGAAACUUGGAUUAAUACCGGAUACGGCCUAGCGGCGAAAGAUUCAUCGCCGGAGGAUUGGCCCGCGUUCGAUUAGCUAGUUGGUGAGGUAACGGCUCACCAAGGCGACGAUCGAUAGCUGGUCUGAGAGGAUGAUCAGCCACAUUGGGACUGAGACACGGCCCAAACUCCUACGGGAGGCAGCAGUGGGGAAUAUUGGACAAUGGGCGCAAGCCUGAUCCAGCCAUGCCGCGUGAGUGAUGACGGCCUUAGGGUUGUAAAGCUCUUUCGCUAGGGACGAUAAUGACGGUACCUAGACAAGAAGCCCGGCUAACUUCGUGCCAGCAGCCGC
Molecule: ribosomal RNA, 443 nt
Filed under: uncultured bacterium
Lineage: Bacteria
Description: SSU rRNA
Rfam family: Bacterial small subunit ribosomal RNA
Source: RNAcentral